Molecule: long non-coding RNA, 1039 nt
Organism: Panicum virgatum (switchgrass)
Lineage: Eukaryota; Viridiplantae; Streptophyta; Magnoliopsida; Poales; Poaceae
Exons: 3
Source: RefSeq, a predicted model, not a curated record
GCCAUUUUCCUUGCCUCUUGCCUCUUUCCUGCCCAUGUCCGGAAACAAGCGCUCUAUCGGGGAAGGACCAAGGGGUCGGCCUCACGGCUCACCUCGCCCCCAGGGAGGUGAUCAUCGGGUGAGGGUUGCUGUCAGACUGGACCGUUAGAUUGCUGCCCGUGGGGCGGCGGAAGAACCUUCUCGUCCUCCGCAGACUCCAGCGAAUGCCGCCGCUAGGAGAUCCGCAACCUGGUGAGGGCAGUAGUGGAAGACCGGGAGCAGUAUUAGGCGGCGACGAAGGAGAUCAACUGCCUGCGGUCCUCCCUCGCCGCGGUGGAGGCCUCCCUCUAGGCGUGCACGGAGGAGGUGACUGUCGUUCGUGGCAACGUUGCUGAGGCUCAUGCCCAGGUCGUAGACCUGAAGGAGGACCUGGCCACCGCGCAGCGAGAGGUCGAGGAGCUGUGGCACCGCUACGAUGACCUUGAGGAUCGUCAUGAUGACCUGGGCCACGCUGUGCUCCGCGCAGUGAGUGCGAUGUGGGUGCACGGGAACUGCUACCUGACCGCCUCUGGGCCCUUGCACCCCACGUGGGACGAGAGGUGCAACUGGGCGUUCGUCGAGGCGUGACGCUGGCGCUCACCGUGGCGCAGCUCCGAUCCGGGCUGGAACUUCAUCUCGUGAGGCCUGGGAUCCUGGCUGGGACCUCCUCGGCAGAGCGGGAUGCGCUCGCCAGUGACUUUGGCGUUGCCUCCGCCCACAUCGCCACCGAGACCGACGCUACCGAGAUCCUGCGGCAGGCCACCGGCUCGGGACGGGCCGAUCGUCGCUGAGUUGGUGUUGGUGACGAGGUGGAUCAGCUUGCAAGCGCCUCGUCGGCGACGAAGAGCUCUUUUUGGUGUUUGUACCUGAAGGGUGCUCAUCGCAGCCCUCCUUUCCUCCUUUCGUGUACUCCAUCCGUUUUGAUGUUGCUCCCCAUAGCCCCCGAGUGAGGUCCGAGACAGCACGGUGGGUCGGUCGUCACUCAUCGGUUAGGGGUAGAAGCGCCUUAGUUGCUCGAUGU